RNAcentral lists this ribosomal RNA (1555 nucleotides) under Escherichia coli. RNAcentral's name for it is "bacterial SSU rRNA". It matches the Rfam family "Bacterial small subunit ribosomal RNA". Lineage: Bacteria; Pseudomonadati; Pseudomonadota; Gammaproteobacteria; Enterobacterales; Enterobacteriaceae. The record is from RNAcentral.
AAAUUGAAGAGUUUGAUCAUGGCUCAGAUUGAACGCUGGCGGCAGGCCUAACACAUGCAAGUCGAACGGUAACAGGAAGCAGCUUGCUGCUUUGCUGACGAGUGGCGGACGGGUGAGUAAUGUCUGGGAAACUGCCUGAUGGAGGGGGAUAACUACUGGAAACGGUAGCUAAUACCGCAUAACGUCGCAAGACCAAAGAGGGGGACCUUCGGGCCUCUUGCCAUCGGAUGUGCCCAGAUGGGAUUAGCUUGUUGGUGGGGUAACGGCUCACCAAGGCGACGAUCCCUAGCUGGUCUGAGAGGAUGACCAGCCACACUGGAACUGAGACACGGUCCAGACUCCUACGGGAGGCAGCAGUGGGGGAAUAUUGCACAAUGGGCGCAAGCCUGAUGCAGCCAUGCCGCGUGUAUGAAGAAGGCCUUCGGGUUGUAAAGUACUUUCAGCGGGGAGGAAGGGAGUAAAGUUAAUACCUUUACUCAUUGACGUUACCCGCAGAAGAAGCACCGGCUAACUCCGUGCCAGCAGCCGCGGUAAUACGGAGGGUGCAAGCGUUAAUCGGAAUUACUGGGCGUAAAGCGCACGCAGGCGGUUUGUUAAGUCAGAUGUGAAAUCCCCGGGCUCAACCUGGGAACUGCAUCUGAUACUGGCAAGCUUGAGUCUCGUAGAGGGGGGUAGAAUUCCAGGUGUAGCGGUGAAAUGCGUAGAGAUCUGGAGGAAUACCGGUGGCGAAGGCGGCCCCCUGGACGAAGACUGACGCUCAGGUGCGAAAGCGUGGGGAGCAAACAGGAUUAGAUACCCUGGUAGUCCACGCCGUAAACGAUGUCGACUUGGAGGUUGUGCCCUUGAGGCGUGGCUUCCGGAGCUAACGCGUUAAGUCGACCGCCUGGGGAGUACGGCCGCAAGGUUAAAACUCAAAUGAAUUGACGGGGGCCCGCACAAGCGGUGGAGCAUGUGGUUUAAUUCGAUGCAACGCGAAGAACCUUACCUGGUCUUGACAUCCACGGAAGUUUUCAGAGAUGAGAAUGUGCCUUCGGGAACCGUGAGACAGGUGCUGCAUGGCUGUCGUCAGCUCGUGUUGUGAAAUGUUGGGUUAAGUCCCGCAACGAGCGCAACCCUUAUCCUUUGUUGCCAGCGGUCCGGCCGGGAACUCAAAGGAGACUGCCAGUGAUAAACUGGAGGAAGGUGGGGAUGACGUCAAGUCAUCAUGGCCCUUACGACCAGGGCUACACACGUGCUACAAUGGCGCAUACAAAGAGAAGCGACCUCGCGAGAGCAAGCGGACCUCAUAAAGUGCGUCGUAGUCCGGAUUGGAGUCUGCAACUCGACUCCAUGAAGUCGGAAUCGCUAGUAAUCGUGGAUCAGAAUGCCACGGUGAAUACGUUCCCGGGCCUUGUACACACCGCCCGUCACACCAUGGGAGUGGGUUGCAAAAGAAGUAGGUAGCUUAACCUUCGGGAGGGCGCUUACCACUUUGUGAUUCAUGACUGGGGUGAAGUCGUAACAAGGUAACCGUAGGGGAACCUGCGGUUGGAUCACCUCCUUACCUUAAAGAAGC